UAGGAAUUUUGGGCAAUGGGCGAAAGCCUGACCCAGCAACGCCGCGUGGAGGAUGACGGCUCUCGGGUUGUAAACUCCUUUUGUGGGGGAUGACAUCGACAGUACCCCACCAACAAGCCCCGGCUAACUACGUGCCAGCAGCCGCGGUAAUACGUAGGGGGCCAGCGUUGUCCGGACUUACUGGGCGUAAAGCGCGCGCAGGUGGAUGAGUAUGUGCCGUGUGAAAGCACCGUCCUUACGAUGGUGAGGUCAUGGUAGACAGCUCGUCUUGAGGCUCGAAGAGGUUGAUGGAAUUCCGGGUGGAGCGGUGAAAUGCGUAGAUAUCCGGAGGAACACCAGGGGCGAAAGCGGUCAACUGGUCGAGUUCUGACACUGAGGCGCGACGGCGUGGGGAGCAA
RNAcentral lists this ribosomal RNA (398 nucleotides) under uncultured bacterium. RNAcentral describes it as "bacterial SSU rRNA". It matches the Rfam family "Bacterial small subunit ribosomal RNA", at positions 356 to 771 of the family's 1533-position model. The record is from RNAcentral.